UACGUAGGGUGCAAGCGUUAAUCGGAAUUACUGGGCGUAAAGCGUGCGCAGGCGGUUCGCUAAGACAGAUGUGAAAUCCCCGGGCUUAACCUGGGAACUGCAUUUGUGACUGGCGGGCUAGAGUAUGGCAGAGGGGGGUAGAAUUCCACGUGUAGCAGUGAAAUGCGUAGAGAUCCGGAGGAACCCCAGAGGCGAAGGCGGCGCCCUGGCUCGCAACUGACGCUCAGACACGACAGCAUGGGGAGCGAACGGG
Molecule: ribosomal RNA, 253 nt
Filed under: uncultured bacterium
Lineage: Bacteria
Description: partial 16S ribosomal RNA
Rfam family: Bacterial small subunit ribosomal RNA
Source: RNAcentral